Molecule: ribosomal RNA, 477 nt
Filed under: uncultured bacterium
Lineage: Bacteria
Description: partial 16S ribosomal RNA
Rfam family: Bacterial small subunit ribosomal RNA
Source: RNAcentral
GAUGAACGCUGGCGGCGUGCCUAACACAUGCCAGUCGAACGAAGCGCCUUACCGGAUUCUUCGGAUGAAGGUCUGGUGACUGAGUGGCGGACGGGUGAGUAACGCGUGGGUAACCUGCCCUGUACAGGGGGAUAACAGCUGGAAACGGCUGCUAAUACCGCAUAAGCGCACGAGGAGACAUCUCCUUGUGUGAAAAACUCCGGUGGUACAGGAUGGGCCCGCGUCUGAUUAGCUGGUUGGCAGGGUAACGGCCUACCAAGGCAACGAUCAGUAGCCGGUCUGAGAGGAUGAACGGCCACAUUGGAACUGAGACACGGUCCAAACUCCUACGGGAGGCAGCAGUGGGGAAUAUUGCACAAUGGGGGAAACCCUGAUGCAGCAACGCCGCGUGAGUGAAGAAGUAUUUCGGUAUGUAAAGCUCUAUCAGCAGGGAAGAUAAUGACGGUACCUGACGAAGAAGCUCCGGCUAAAUACGUG